GGGAGGGUAAUAUGUAGAGGAGCCAUACCCCUACCCGAAAGGGCAGAGAGGUUUCCAAUCGACCCACGGCAACACUACUUCAAAAUGAUAAUUAAGUUCUAGCACUCCCUCCAUUCCACCUUAUGUGACAUGAUUCGGAGGGCAAGGGUCAGACUGCCUAACUUUUUGUGGGGCUUCAGAAAACUACGAGGGAGUAAUAUAACCAAAACUAUGACACUCGAAAGUCAUAAACAUCAUACCGUGCAAGAUAUCCUUGACGAUUUCCCAAACUUCACUGCUUCAGCUUGUAUCUGUGUGGCUAAUUCUCUUGUUGGUGAUAGUACCAAAAUAGUUGGGCCUAAUUGAGGAUUCUUGCGACGCUGUUGUAGAUGAACAAAGGCAGGCAUCAAGUAACCCAGAGUUUUGCCAGACCCGGUCUUUGCAAUAGCCACUAUAUCACGGCCCUGAAGGGCGGGAUUCUUGCGACGUUGUCGUAGAUGAAUAAAGGCAGGCAUCAAGUAACCCAGAGUUUUGCCAGACCCAGUCUUCGCAAUAGCCACUAUAUCACGGCCCUGAAGGGCAAUGGGCCAGGAUUGUGCCUGUAUUGGAGUAGGAGCCGAAAACCCGGCUUGAUGCAUCUGUAAAUGUUGGCAACAUCAUUCAGCAUACAUACGAACUCGGAAUUGUUUUUCAUAGAUCACUUAUUUGACUAAUCUGAAUGGCCAACACAAGAAGAAGCAUCAUCCCCCUUAAGUAGGCAGCCAACACUAGCUUGAUGCAUCUGAAAAUGUUGGCAACAUAGGAACUCAGAAUUGUUUUUCAUAGAUCACUUAUUUGACUAAUCUGAAUGGCCGACACAAGAAGAAGCAUCAUCCCCCUUAAGUAGGCAGCCCACACUUGCUAAUACAAACAAGAGCAGGAGGACGCCUCUUCUUCAGUUUGGACCAUGUGGCAGACUGAAUCAUCACCGACAGCAGCCCCAGCCACGAACAUGGAUGAUUCGGAAAGCCUUCAGAAGAUUUGGUCCACCAAAUAAGGGUGCUCCACAUACAUGGAAGCCCCCAAAGGAUGGUUGAACAGCGUACGACAUUUAGCUCCUCCUUGGAGCAAAUAUCGCACCUGCGUGAAAGUACAGACAGGAAAAUGGAUGAGUACCGAAGCUCAACGAUGGACCUCCAGCAACCAUUGAAAUUUAGAAAGAACACGCUUGAUUAUUACUGUAAAUUCUUGGAUAAGAGGUUCUCCUGAAGGAGCGUUUAAAACACAAAUUGAAAUGGGUCUAUUCAUACCUC
RNAcentral lists this long non-coding RNA (1271 nucleotides) under Nicotiana benthamiana. RNAcentral describes it as "long non-coding RNA (NBEN_LNC007093)". The record is from RNAcentral. Lineage: Eukaryota; Viridiplantae; Streptophyta; Magnoliopsida; Solanales; Solanaceae.